RNAcentral lists this ribosomal RNA (462 nucleotides) under uncultured bacterium. RNAcentral's name for it is "bacterial SSU rRNA". It matches the Rfam family "Bacterial small subunit ribosomal RNA", at positions 28 to 507 of the family's 1533-position model. The record is from RNAcentral.
GAUAAACACUGGCGGCGUGCAUGAGACAUGCAAGUCGAACGAACAAUCCAGGGCUUGCCCUGGGGCGUUAGUGGCGAACGGCUGAGUAACGCGUGGGUGACCUGCCCGGAAGUGGGGAAUAACUGCCCGAAAGGGUGGCUAAUACCGCAUGCGGUCAUACGUUCAUUCGUAGGACCAAAGCAGCAAUGCGCUUCCGGAGGGGCCUGCGUUCGAUUAGCUCGUUGGUGAGGUAACGGCUCACCAAGGCGACGAUCGAUAGGUGGUCUGAGAGGAUGAUCACCCAGACUGGGACUGAGACACGGCCCAGACUCCUACGGGAGGCAGCAGUCGGGAAUUUUGCUCAAUGGGGGAAACCCUGAAGCAGCAACGCCGCGUAAGGGAUGAAGGCCUUCGGGUUGUAAACCUCUUUUCUCAGGGACGAUAGUGACGGUACCUGAGGAAUAAGCCACGGCUAACUACGUG